Rattus norvegicus (Norway rat) is the source of this 9475-nucleotide non-coding RNA. The record is from RefSeq and is a predicted model, not a curated record. Lineage: Eukaryota; Metazoa; Chordata; Mammalia; Rodentia; Muridae.
AUUCGGUAGUGCUCCAUCUGUUUCAAUUUUGUGGAAUAGUUUGGACAGUAUUGGUAUGAGGUCUUCUAUGAAGGUCUGAUAGAAUUCUGCACUGAACCCAUCUGGACCUGGGCUCUUUUUGGUUGGGAGACUUUUAAUAACUGCUGCUAUUUCUUUAGGAGUUAUGGGUUUAUUUAGGUACUUUAUUCCUGAUUUAAAUUUGGUACCUGGUAUCUGUCUAGAAAAUUUUCCAUUUCCUCCAGAUUUUCCAGUUUUGUUGAAUAUAGGCUUUUGUAGUAGGAUCUGUUGAUUUUUUUAAAAAUUUCUUCAGAUUCUGUUGUUAUGUCUCCCUUUUCUUUUCUGAUUUUGUUAAUUUGGAUACACUGUCUGUGACCUCUGGUUAAUCUGGGUAAGGGUUCAUCUAUCUUGAUUUUCUCAAAGAACCAGCUCGUGGUUUUGUUGAUUCUUUGUAUAGUCCUUUUUCAUUUCUACUUGAUUGAUUCCAGCCCUGAGUUUGAUUGUUUCCUGUUUCUACUCUUCUUGGUUUUAUUUAUUUCUUUUUGUUCUAGAACUUUUGGGUGUGCCGUCAAGCUGCUGACCUAUGCUCUCUCCUUUUUUCUUUUUGCAGGCACUCAGAGCCAUGAGUUUUCCUCUUAGCAUGGCUUUCAUUGUGUCCCAUAAGUUUGGGUAUGUCAUAUCUUCAUUUUCAUUAAAUUCUAAGAAGUCUUUAAUUUCUUUCUUUAUUUCUUCCUUGACCAUGUUGUCACUGAGUAGAGUGUUGUUCAACUUCCAUUUAUAUGUGGGCUUUCUGUUGUUAUUGUUGUUAUGCCUGGGCUGGCAUUUGUGUUCUCUUAGUGUCUUUAAGACAUCUGUCCAGAAUCUUCUGGCUUUCAUAGUCUCUGGUGAGAAGUCUGGUAUAAUUCGUAAAGGUCUGCCUUUAUAUGUCACUUGACCUUUUUUCCCUUACUGCUUUUAAUAUUAUUUCUUUGUUUUGUGCAUUUGGUGUUUUAACUAUUAUGUGACAGGAGGAAUUUCUCUUCUUGUUCAAUCUAUUUGGAGUUCUGUAGGCUUCUUGUAUGUUUAUGGGCAUAUCUUUCUUUAUCUUAGGGAAGUUUUGUCUAUAAUUUUGUUGAAUAUAUUUACUGACCUUUAAGUUGGGAGUCUUCACUUUCUUCUAUACCUAUUAUCCUUAGGUUUGGCCUUCUCAUUAUGUCCUGGAUUUCCUGUAUGUUUUGGGCUAGGAGUAUUUGGGUUUUACAUUAUCUUUGACAGUUGUGUCAAUGUUUUCUAUGGUAUCUCCUGCCCCUGAGAUUCUUCUAUCUCUUGUAUUCUGUUGGUGAUGCUUGUAUCUAUGACUCCUUGUCUUUUUUUUUUUUUUUAGGUUUUCUAUAUCCAAGGUUGUCUCCCAUUGUACUUUCUUUAUUGUUUCCGUUUCCAUGUUUAAAUCCUGUACAGUUUUGUUCAAUUCCUUUGCCUGUUUGGUUUUGUUUUCCUGUAGUCCUUUCAGGGAUUUUUGUGUUUCCUCUUUAAGGGCUUCUACUUGUUUACUUGUGUUUUCCUGCAUUUCUUUAAGGGAGUUCUUUAUGUCCUUCUUAAAGUCCUGCAUCGUUAUCAUAAAAUGUAAUUUUAAAUCUAAAUCUUGCUUCUCCACUGUGUGUGGAUAUCCAGUGUUUUCUCUGGGGAGACCGGGCUCUGAUGAUGCCAAGUAGUCUUGGUGUCUGUUGCUUAUGUUCCUGCGCUUGCCUCUAGCCAUUGGGUUGUCUCUGGUGUUUGCUUGUCUUGCUGUUUCUAAGAGUGACUUGACCCUGCUGUAGGCCUCUGUGUCAGAACUCCUGUAGAACUGUUUUCUUGUUUUCUUUCAGCCUUUCCUGAGAACAGGUGCUCUGAUUUCAAGUGUGUUGAUGCUCCUGGAGACUGUCUUCCAGCUCUAGGUGCAGGCAGGAAUCAAAGGGUCCUGCCCCUGAUUGCUCCUAGGUCCUUGCACCCAUGGAGCACAUUUGGCACUAGAUGAUUCCCUCUUGGGUCUGGACUGUGGGCAGAGGGUAGUCUCCUCUGGCUUCUCAGAACUGUCCACCCUUCUGAGGGUCUAGUUCCGUCCCCCACAGGAUUUGGGUUCAGGGAACAGUUUGGCUGGUUUAGUUCCAACCUGGGCACAGACCUGAACCACAGGUACUGCCGCCUGACUGUAUUCCUGUGUCCAGAGGCAUUGUGUAGUUUCCCCUUGGACCUGGGGUGUGGGCAGAAGUGUGCAGCAGUGCCAGCCUGUCCUGUGGUCUCAGGAUGUCUGUACCUCUGGGUGUUCAGCUCUCUUCCCCAUGUGAUUUGGGUACAGGGAACUCAGAUCCUAUGAUUUUUUGAAUUUCCUCUGAUUCUGUUAUUAUGUCUCCCUUUUCAUUUCUGAUUUUGUUAAUUUAGACACAAUCUCUGUGCCUCUUGUUAGCCUGGCCAUGGAUUUAUCUAUCUUGCUGAUUUUCUCAAAGAACCAGCUUUGGUUCUGUUGAUUCUUUGUAUAGUCCUUUUUGUUUCUACUUGGUUUAUUUCAGCCCUGAGUUUGAUUAUUUCCUGCCUUCUACUCCUCUUGGGUAUAUGUGCUUCUUUUUGUUCUAGAGCUUUUAGGUGUGUUGUCAAGCUGUUGAUCUAUGUCCUUUCCUGUUUCUUUUUGCAGGCUCUCAGAGCUAUGAGUUUUCCUCUUAGCACUGCUUUCAUUGUGUCCCAUAAUUUUGGUUAUGUUAUAUCUUCAUUUUCAUUAAAUUAUAAGAAGUCUUUAAUUUCUUUCUUUAUUUUUUCCUUGACCAAGUUAUUAUUGACUGGAGCAUUGUUCAAUUUCCAUGUAUAUGUGGGCGUUCUUUUCUCUUGUUAUUGAAGACCAGCGUUAGUCCGUGAUGAUCUGCUAGGAUGCAUGGGAUCUGUCUGUUUCUGUUGUCAAAUUUACUUUUAAUGGAAAAAUAUGAUUGACUUUGGAAAGGGCCAGGGAACAAAUGAAAUCAUCAGAGGAGGCAGGGCGUUAUCCAUGAUGAUAUGUGUAAAUCAUAGGGAGAAAGGGAAGGGCAGAGUGAAGCUGGCUUUGAUGUUGUUAGAUGAGUUAGUCUUCUCCAGGGAUAAGCCUCCUAGUUGGUUAUCUAAUUAUAAAUAGUCAUAUUUGAAAUCAUAUGCACGGGAGCAAAGUUAAACAGAUUAAGCAGAAUGUGUAUGUAUGUAUGUAUGUAUGUAUGUAUGUAUGUAUGUGUGUGUAUGUAUAUAUAUACAUAAUAAUGAUUUAGAAAAAAGUUCAUGAAUUUCAGAGUGAGUAAGGGUACAGGAAGGGGGAGAAUAGAGAAAACAACUCUUGUUAGCUGUGUUAUCUUACACAGCUGUGCUAAAUGAGGGCAACAGGCGGGGGCUUCACUCAGAGUUCUCACACUCAGUAACUGAGGUAAGUUUCAGAACUGAGACUUGACUGCAGUUCGAGGAGAGAUGAAUACAAAGUCUAUUGAAGAGAAGUGGCUUCUCUCCCAGAGCCAAGGCCCACGUGGCUCUUGACUCUAAACAACUUUAGAGAAAGCAACUAAUCUUUAUUCCCCAUAAGCCAUAGUAGAGAACAAGUAAAGGAAUCUAGUCAGUUGAACAGAAGUGGAGAGAAUCUAAAAAUAUGUGAGUAAUAUAAUUCAGAUCUUAAAGCUGCUGGGAAAUAAAGGGGAUUCACACCCACACUUGGAAUUCUGGUCAGCAUCACGGUUGCACAAUUGUUUCAUGAUUAACGUUGUGUUUGCAUGUAAAAUUAGUUUAACUCUAGAUUCUUUAUUUAUAAUAUCUCAUUUUAAAAAAUAAAUUUUAAUCUGAGUUGAAAAAUUCAAGGUGGUCUUGCUAUAAAGUCAGUUUAUCAGUAUAUUUUAACAAGAAUGAGAAAGACAUCGAUAUAGACAGAAACAAACAGAGAGAAGGAAACAUUCACUUAUAGAUAGUAUAUUUUAGGGAUCACUGGUGUUAUGAAAGUUUUGGUCCCUAAAAAAUGAGCCAGGGCUUUAUCAGAAGAGGAAAGAAAUUACCAGGAAGUCACUUUGAGAUGGAAAACGGUCCAGCUGGAAUUGGAAGACUAAACAAAAUUUCCCAGAAAGCUAGCAAUAAAAUAACAGCUGACUUAAUUCAAGACAGAUCCAUUCUGUUGCUGCAGUUAUGUUAAUAAGGACCAGAAUGAAUUCUGUGAUAAAGAUAUCGAAUUCUAAAAUCAAUCUGCCAUCUAUAGAUACACCUGUUAAUACUUCUGGAAGAAAUGCCUUGGUGAAACCUGAAGAACAAGGAGUCAGGGAAAGUGCCUGAAAGUACCAUAUCAGUAGGAAGGACCAUGAGCCACCUUAUUCAAGAACUCAAUGUUGGGAUCACAACAAUAGAAUGUGGCUGGGGAACAAAUCCCAUUCCUCUUUAGGGGGAUCAGCAUAGAUUUUACCUAUUUUACCCUUGUUCUUGAUUUCUUUCUUCCUCUCUGCAGCCAAGAUCAUCAGGGGGUUCUCCCCCUGUCAAGUCUUAUUUUCUUCAAUUUGACUGGAAUCAACAGUCCUUUCUGUCUUUUGAAAAAAAGAAAGACAAACUCUUCUCCACACAAUAUAUUUCCUGCCCUAUGCUCCAAAGCUAUCACAUAUGUAGGCUGAUUUAAUUCCUCAGUCUUUUCCAAAUUCCAGGGUAUUUCAGGAGCUAUAUUGUGUAUCUCAUUGAUAUUCAAAAAAGUCAAUAAAACAUUCUUCUGUCUAUCUCUGGGAGAUGUCAUAUUCUCCUUUCAUUCUAUGAGCAUUUCUUUCAAAGGUUUUUUAGAUCUCUCCUAAUUGCUUGACCUGUAGGAUUGUACGUUGUAUUUAUAACAGGCAUUACACCAUAAUGUCUUUAAAAAAUGUUAGAUUCUAAUAUAUAUUGAAACAUCACCAUUUUCAAUCUGCAAAGGCAUUUCCAAGAUAGCUAUUAUCUUUAAUAAAUGUGAAGUCUCAGAAUCAUAUUUUUUUAAAUACAAGGCAAAAGCCCAUAGGAAUUCUGAACAUGUAUCAAAAGAAUGCUAUAUCAACAUAUACCUUAAUUCUCUGAACUCUAUAAAAUGAAACAUAUAAUCUAUUAAUGACAUUGUUCUGAGGAAGUAUCAAACAGUCUGUACUCCUAUUCAAUAUAUCUAAUCUCUGUGAGAUGCCAUGAAAAUUGUUCAAGCCUUUGUGGGUCUUUCUCAUCUAUAACCAUUCCUUUUGUUGUUAUUGCAGAUUCCAGAUCGGAUUGUUCUGAAAGUUCUUUAUCCUGAUUUACAGAAUCCUCUAAUCUCUGUUCUAUGGGCUCCAAUUCUGCAUUCUAUUCUCUCCUUAUUUAAGUCUGUUUACUCUUAUCUUUCUUAAAAUGAAUAUAUACAACUAUAAUUAUUAUUGAACAUAUAAUUAUUUGCUUACUGAUAAUUGAAACAAAAUUAUACAUGGUUCAAGUACUCUCUGUCAUUGUAUUUUCUCCAUCUUUUAACAUCAAAUAUAUUUUUCUUUUUAAUUUCUAGUUCUCUCCUUAAGGACUUUCCAAGUAUCCUACCAUGUCUGUUGACUUUUCAGCUUUUCCUGUUGUUCCCUGUAUCUGUAAUUGGUGUCUUCUAACUCUCCCUGACCCUGCUGUGCUUCUGUCAUUCAACUAGUACAUUUCUAUGGCGCCUACCCCCUCCACUUGGUCUAGCUGGCAGCUCUUGUGGGUUCUAGGCUGGAGACACUGUUUUCCAUGAGAGUCAAACCUCCUGCCCACGCUGGGAAGAUGACUCUAGGCCAGAGCAUGUAGUCACCUGUUCUGGAUCCGGUCCAUAUCUCACAGAGGAACAAACACACAAGCUUCAUUGCUCCAUAGGAGCUCUUAAGCAGCCACAUCAUGGGCUGAUCUCAGCUACUCUGCUGUCCUCCAGGUUUUCUUUUAAAAAAGUCUCCCACCAGGUUAGGAGAUUUCAUCCCAAUCUGGGAAGUGAUUGUUUGCUACCUUUCCACCCAGGAUUUUUCAGGCUCUGAGUCUGGAUUCUGUACCCCAUGUUUACUGAUUACAUUUGUAACAGCAGACUUUUCAUCUACACUCAAGUUCUCAAAAAGAAUGGCUCGGGGCUGGGGAUUUAGCUCAGUGGUAGAGCGCUUACUUAGGAAGGGCAAGGCCCUGGGUUCGGUCCCCAGCUCCGAAAAAAAGAACAACAACAACAAAAAAUAAUAAUGGCUCUGAGACUUCUUACAUAUAAAUAAAUGCAUAGGCUAUAAAUUUAGGCAUGUUUUCCCACUAGCUAAUAAUUGAAUUAACCUGUUUAUUCUGAGUGCUGCAUGGUUGGUUACAUCUCCUUCGUUCUAUGUAUCUGUCUCCUCACAGUUUGGGGCUGAUCUUUGUGCCGGACUCUUUUGUAGAAUCCUCUCUGUCUCUUCCAAAUGUCCCACCUUCUAAUCCUGCUUCAGCUCAGUAGUCAUAGGCUUUCUAUUGACAGGUGAUGCUUUGAUAUAUUGCAAAAGAGAAUCCUUCUCUACAUUACUCCCUUGAAAUGUUACAUGUUUGCAGAGGACUAGACAGCCAAAGAGACAAAAUAAACAGCACAGGUAACCCUACCUCAGACUGCUGCAAUGCUGUUUCCUCAAAAAUCUGCAUCCAGGACUAUUGUAAAAUUGAUGGCUAUAUCAUUCGGCAUCUUAGACUGUUCCAGUCAGGACUUCAUUAGAGCCAGCCCUUUCUAACCAUGCAGAGACUGGACAGCAAAUGUUAUAGGUAGCUUUUAUAGACUUACCAAUGGCCCAUUUUUAGGAGGCUCAAAAAAGUAAAAUGAUACCCCAAAUCAUCAGGAAGCAAUGAUAAGAGAAAGACAUACCUAUUUCCAAGAGGUGGGGUGGAUAGUUUUCCGCUAUUCGCUGGAUGUUGGCUGUUUGCCAUUGUCAUCAUUUAAGAGGGUGGUCACACGUCUGGGACAAGAAAGAAACAGAAUGAGGGAGAUUAAAUUCAGAAAUUUCUUUUUCUCUUUCCUCUAUCUUUCUUUCAUUCCUAGUGUUAGGAGGCAAAAGAGGGAGAAGCAAUGAAAAUAAAAAAGAGAGGAUAUUGGAUUAAUAGAAUAAAGGGCAGAUUGUGAAUCUUAGACUAUAGAGUUAUAUUGGCCAAAAAAAAAUCUUACCUUGGUAAAGAUCUUUACAUAUUGAAACAAAAUUUGGAUAUAUUUGGCUACAGCACGCUAUGUAUCAACUCUUUUUAAGGCGUUGUGACUACAUAAUUCUUAAAAAUACAAUGUUAAGUUCUAUGCUAUUAUAAACUUUUUAGAAUACUUAAUUACUAGUUAAUAGUUAAUCAGUAAGACUUAUGGUCAUGUUAUAUAUUCUAAUCGAGUUGGUUUCAGUAAAAUGAUUUUAAAGUUGAACAGAUAGUAAAUAGCUAGAAACAAACAACUCAGAUACACUAUGGGUGGAUAUAUGGUCUUCAAAAACUCAGGGAUCGACAGAAUAUGGCAUUUAAAGAUGUUUUAUCAUUAUAAGAUUUUUUUUUGAUGGUGAGACAGGUCUGCUCCUGGCUACACCCUCAUUCUACUUCAAGGGAAAAGAUGAGCAUUAAAGAACAUUCAUAUGGCAUUUGCUUCAUAUAUGGCAAGCUAAGUACUGAGAAAGAAACUGUCCUGGCUUCAACUGAUGACAGGAUACUGUCCAAAGUGGACUAACACGACACAGGGAAGUUGAUUGCCAAGCUUUGCCAAGACAAGAUGCCCCAGUAUUAAGCAACCUUCAAAUUCCACAGUAGACAUGCUUAAAAUCUCAUUUUUUUGAACCGGGAAGCUAACGCGAGUCUCUGAUUUUCCAAACUUAACUGUAGUGAAAACUAAUUCAAAGAUCCCAGAAUUGCUUCUUCUCUACUUGCAUCAUUCAUCAAGCAGCCCGACCUUGCGGAUCAGAAAUCAAAGCCCAAUAGGGAAGGGUUGCACAUCAGCCACAAAGAGACACCUAAGGGGUGAGCAACACCUUCCAGCAUGGAAAGAUUACUUUUUGUUUCAGUAAACUUUACAUAUAAAGAGAUAAAGUUGUGACCUCACCGCCUGAUCAGGUGGGCACUCCUGAGGCUGCAGAGCAGAGGAGACCACCAACACUGCCCACCCCUGCCCACAUCCCUGGCCCAAGAGGCAACUGUAUAAGGCCUCUGGGUUCCCGUAGGGGAGGGCCCAGGAGCGGCAGGAUCCCUGCGCCUGAGACAACGUCGGAACCUGAAGGAAACAGACCGGAUAAACAGUUCUCUGCACCCAAAUCCCGUGGGAGGGAGAGCUAAACCUUCAGAGAGGCGGACACGCCUGGGUUAGAAGUGCACAUCCAGACGCGAGAGGAAAACACCAAACGCCAUCUGGAACCCUGGUGCACGGAGGCUCCCAGAAAGAGCGGCGCAGAUCUUCCCGGUUGCUGCCGCCGUGGAGAGGACUUAGGCAGUACCCCACGAGCAAACUUGAGCCUUGGAACCGCAGGUAGGACCAACUUUUCCCCUGCAAGAAACAUGCCUGGUGAACUCAAGACACAGGCCCACAGGAACAGCUGAAGACCUGUAGAGAGGAAAAACUACACGCCCGAAAGCAGAACACUCUGUCCCCAUAACUGGCUGAAAGAAAACAGGAAAACAGGUCUACAGCACUCCUGACACACAGGCUUAUAGGACAGUCUAGCCACGGUCAGAAAUAGCAGAACAAAGGAACACUAGAGAUAAUCUGAUGGCGAGAGGCAAGCGCAGGAACCCAAGCAACAGAAACCAAGACUACAUGGCAUCAUCGGAGCCCAAUUCUGCCACCAAAGCAAACACGGAAUAUCCAAACACACCAGAAAAGCAAGAUCUAGUUUCAAAAUCAUAUUUGAUAAUGAUGCUGGAGGACUUCAAGAAAGACGUGAAGAACUCCCUUAGAGAACAAGUAGAAGCCUACAGAGAGGAAUCGCAAAAAUCCCUGAAAGAAUUCCAGGAAAAACAAUCAAACAGUUGAAGGAAUUAAAAAUGGAAAUAGAAGCAAUCAAGAAAGAACACAUGGAAACAACCCUGGACAUAGAAAAUCAAAAGAAAAGACAAGGAGCUGUAGAUACAAGCUUCACCAACAGAAUACAAGAGAUGGAAGAGAGAAUCUCGGGAGCAGAAGAUUCCAUAGAAAUCAUUGACUCAACUGUCAAAGAUAAUGUAAAGCGGAAAAAGCUACUGGUCCAAAACAUACAGGAAAUCCAGGACUCAAUGAGAACAUCAAACCUAAGGAUAAUAGGUAUAGAAGAGAGUGAAGACUCCCAGCUCAAAGGACCAGUAAAUAUCUUCAACAAAAUCAUAGAAGAAAACUUCCCUAACCUAAAAAAAGAGAUACCCAUAGGCAUACAAGAAGCCUACAGAACUCCAAAUAGAUUGGACCAGAAAAGAAACACCUCCCAUCACAUAAUUGUCAAAACACCAAACGCACAAAAUAAAGAAAGAAUAUUAAAAGCAGUAAGGGAAAAAGGUCAAGUAACAUAUAAAGGCAGACCUAUCAGAAUCACACCAGACUUUUCACCAGAAAAUAUGA